AGUGGCAGACGGGUGAGUAACGCGUGGGAAUUUACCCAGCUCUACGGAACAACUCAGGGAAACUUGAGCUAAUACCGUAUACGCCCUUUGGGGGAAAGAUUUAUCGGAGUUGGAUGAGCCCGCGUUUGAUUAGCUAGUUGGUGGGGUAAAGGCCUACCAAGGCGACGAUCAAUAGCUGGUCUGAGAGGAUGAUCAGCCACACUGGGACUGAGACACGGCCCAGACUCCUACGGGAGGCAGCAGUGGGGAAUAUUGGACAAUGGGCGCAAGCCUGAUCCAGCCAUGCCGCGUGAGUGAUGAAGGCCCUAGGGUUGUAAAGCUCUUUCAACGGUGAAGAUAAUGACGGUAACCGUAGAAGAAGCCCCGGCUAACUUCGUGCCAGCAGCCGCGGUAAUACGAAGGGGGCUAGCGU
RNAcentral lists this ribosomal RNA (412 nucleotides) under uncultured bacterium. RNAcentral describes it as "bacterial SSU rRNA". It matches the Rfam family "Bacterial small subunit ribosomal RNA", at positions 94 to 541 of the family's 1533-position model. The record is from RNAcentral.